This 465-nucleotide ribosomal RNA is filed under the name uncultured bacterium. RNAcentral describes it as "partial 16S ribosomal RNA". It matches the Rfam family "Bacterial small subunit ribosomal RNA", at positions 28 to 507 of the family's 1533-position model. The record is from RNAcentral.
GACGAACGCUGGCGGCGUGCUUAACACAUGCAAGUCGAACGGAAAGGCCCCCUUGUGGGGUACUCGAGUGGCGAACGGGUGAGUAACACGUGAGUAACCUACCCUUGACUUUGGGAUAACUUCAGGAAACUGGGGCUAAUACCGGAUAGGAGCUCCUGCUGCAUGGUGGGGGUUGGAAAGUUUCGGCGGUUGGGGAUGGACUCGCGGCUUAUCAGCUUAUUGGUGGGGUAGUGGCUCACCAAGGCUUUGACGGGUAGCCGGCCUGAGAGGGUGACCGGCCACAUUGGGACUGAGAUACGGCCCAGACUCCUACGGGAGGCAGCAGUGGGGAAUAUUGCACAAUGGGCGGAAGCCUGAUGCAGCAACGCCGCGUGCGGGAUGACGGCCUUCGGGUUGUAAACCGCUUUCGCCUGUGACGAAGCGUGAGUGACGGUAAUGGGUAAAGAAGCACCGGCUAACUACGUG